AGUAAGGUCAGCUAAUUAAGCUAUCGGGCCCAUACCCCGAAAAUGUUGGUUUAU
RNAcentral lists this transfer RNA (54 nucleotides) under Bos primigenius (aurochs). RNAcentral describes it as "partial tRNA-Met". The record is from RNAcentral. Lineage: Eukaryota; Metazoa; Chordata; Mammalia; Artiodactyla; Bovidae.